GACGAACGCCGGCGGCGUGCUUAACACAUGCAAGUCGAACGGAAAGGCCCUGCUUUUGUGGGGUGCUCGAGUGGCGAACGGGUGAGUAACACGUGAGUAACCUGCCCUUGACUUUGGGAUAACUUCAGGAAACUGGGGCUAAUACCGGAUAGGAGCUCCUGCUGCAUGGUGGGAGUUGGAAAGUUUCGGCGGUUGGGGAUGGACUCGCGGCUUAUCAGCUUGUUGGUGGGGUAGUGGCUUACCAAGGCUUUGACGGGUAGCCGGCCUGAGAGGGUGACCGGCCACAUUGGGACUGAGAUACGGCCCAGACUCCUACGGGAGGCAGCAGUGGGGAAUAUUGCACAAUGGGCGGAAGCCUGAUGCAGCAACGCCGCGUGCGGGAUGACGGCCUUCGGGUUGUAAACCGCUUUCGCCUGUGACGAAGCGUGAGUGACGGUAAUGGGUAAAGAAGCACCGGCUAACUACGUG
This 468-nucleotide ribosomal RNA is filed under the name uncultured bacterium. Its description in RNAcentral is "partial 16S ribosomal RNA". It matches the Rfam family "Bacterial small subunit ribosomal RNA", at positions 28 to 507 of the family's 1533-position model. The record is from RNAcentral.